AUGGAGGUGGCUCUCGUGAGUGUGGCCACGGGGGCCCUUAACUCCGUCCUAGAGAAGUUGGGCACUCUGCUAGUCGACGAGUACAAUCAUCUCAAAGGGGUGUGCGGUGAGAUUAAGUUUCUAACUGAUGAGCUUACUGCCAUGCAUGCCUUUCUCUUUAAUAUGUCGGAGGAGGAGGAUCCUGACGUGCAGGACAAGGUAUGGAUGACCAUGGUGCGGGAGCUCUCCUAUGAUACAGAGGACUCCAUUGACGACUUGAUGCUAGGUCUUGACGACAAAGAUGCUAAGCCAGAUGGCUUCAUAAAGAAGAUCAAACACAUUCUGGGGACGUUGGGGAAGAGGAAGGCUCACCAUCGGACGUUCCAAGAUUUGAAGAAUCAAGUCACUGCGGCAGGCGAGAGAAAUCAAAGGUACAAGACACCUCGGGCCUUCUCCAACACAAAAAAUGGAACCGUUGACCCUAGGGCUCUUGCUAUCUUCGAGGAUGCCUCAAAGCUUGUCGGUAUUGACGAACCCAAGGCUGAGAUAAUCAGAUUGUUGACAGAAGGGAAUGUAUAUGCACCAAUGCAACAACAACAACCAAAAAUAGUCUCCAUCGUUGGAUCAGGAGGGAUGGGCAAGACAACUCUUGCAAACCAAGUGUAUAAAGACCUUAAAGGAAAAUUUGAGUGUCGGGCUUUCGUAUCAAUGUCACAAAAUCGGAACAUGAAGAAAAUCUUGGGACCUAUUCUCAGUGAAGUGGCAAAUAAAGAUUAUGCCCACACCAAAGCUAGGGAUGAACAACAACUUAUCUCCAAGAUCUCUAAUUUCCUUGUUGAUAAAAGGAGGUCGUGGAAGACAAUAGAGAGAAGGGUGGUGCUCGAAGGGAUCUCGUUAGCAAUGAUGGUGCACAGUGGUUUUACCCAAGUUCAGGCUCCAGAUGGCUACUUCAUUGUUGUUGACAACGUAUGGAACAAGGAAACAUGGGAUGUUAUUAAGUAUGCAUUCCCCAUGACCAGUCGUGGCAGACUAAUCACCACUACCCGUAUGAUUGAUGUUGUGCAUUCAUGUCAUUCAUCAUUCAGUGGCCAUAUUUAUAAUAUGAAGCCUCUUCAUAUGGAGCACUCAAGACAUCUAUUUCACAAAAGACUAUUCAGUUCCAAAGAAGAUUGUCCUUCAUACCUUGAAGAAGUUUCUAAGCAAAUAUUGGAAAAAUGUGAUGGGUUACCUUUAGCAAUCAUUGCUAUAUCUUGUUUGUUGGGUAACACAGAAAGAACAAAGCAGCAAUGGGACCAAGUAAAAGAUUCAAUUGGUCGUGCACUUGAAAGGAAUCCUAGUGUUGAAGGAAUGAUGAAGAUAUUGUCACUUACUUACUUUGAUCUGCCUUCCCAUCUAAAAGGUUGUCUCCUAUAUCUAAGUAUAUUUCUAGAAGAUUCUAUUAUUGAGAAGAAGGGUCUGAUAAGGAGAUGGGUUGCUGAAGGACUUGUUUGCAAAGAAGGCAGAUAUACAUCAUAUGAGUUAAAAGAGAAGUGUUUUAGUGAGCUCGUCAAUAGGAGUUUGAUCCAACCCGUGAAGGUGGACAAAUAUGAUAAGGUGCUUACUUUUCGAGUUCAUGACACGAUUCUUGAUUUCAUAGUUUCCAAGUCCAUCGAAGAGAACUUUGUUACUUUCAUUGGUGUUCCUAGUUUAACUAUCGGGAGACAAAGCAAAACUCGACGGCUCUCCAUGCAAGUUUAUGGGAAAGGAAAUUAUGUCAUGCCAAUGAACUUGAUAUUGUCUCAUGUCCGGUCACUUAAUGUGUCUGGGAAUUCUGUGAAAAUACCUUCCAUGACGGGGUUCAGUCGUUUACGCAGUUUGGACUUUGGACAUGCAGGCAAUUAG
RNAcentral lists this ribosomal RNA (1860 nucleotides) under Triticum aestivum (bread wheat). Its description in RNAcentral is "partial small subunit ribosomal RNA". Lineage: Eukaryota; Viridiplantae; Streptophyta; Magnoliopsida; Poales; Poaceae. The record is from RNAcentral.